This 479-nucleotide ribosomal RNA is filed under the name uncultured bacterium. Its description in RNAcentral is "partial 16S ribosomal RNA". It matches the Rfam family "Bacterial small subunit ribosomal RNA", at positions 30 to 507 of the family's 1533-position model. The record is from RNAcentral.
CGAACGUUGGCGGCGUGCUUAAUACAUGCAAGUCAACUGAAGCAGUGGUAGCAAUAUCGCUGUGGAGGUGGCGCACGGGUGAGUAACACGUAGGUAAUCUGCCUUCAGGUCUGGCAUAACUCCGGGAAACCGGGGCUAAUAGCAGAUGAUGCAGCGGCUCGACAUCGAGACAGUUGUUAAAGCUAUGGCGCCUGAAGAUGAGCCUGCGUCUGAUUAGCUAGUUGGCGGGGUAACGGCCCACCAAGGCAACGAUCAGUAGCUGGUCUGAGAGGAUGAUCAGCCACACUGGAACUGAGACACGGUCCAGACUCCUACGGGAGGCAGCAGUAAGGAAUAUUGCUCAAUGGGAGAAAUCCUGAAGCAGCAACGCCGCGUGAGGGACGAAGGGCUUUUGCUUGUAAACCUCUGUAGUGAGAGAAAAAAAUCCCAAUCUUUGGGACAUGAUGGUAUCUCAAAAGUAAGCCCCGGCUAACUACGUG